GGGAGGAGAGGGCGAGGCCUCCCCAUUCCCUGCCCCAUUCCCGUUGCCUGCCUCCGCCCGGCCGCGGGGCGGCGCCCACGAGCCGUCCUCCACGCGGCUCCGGAGGCCAUGGACGCUUCCCUGAGGGCACCUGCGGGUUCCUCUUGCCGGAGCAGGCCUUUGUAUUCCUGAGGGACAGCACUGACACCCCCCCACACACACACACACGCACACACAAAGCCGCGAGUGGGGAAUUUUGCGGCGGCCGCUCGGUGCUCCGCGGCGGGGCCGGUGUCGCAGAGAAUGACCCGGUUUGUGAGGCCCAGCCUCGCACGGAGAUUGACGGGCUGAGUGGUUGUUGGGGAAAUCCAUCCUUCGCAUUUCAUCCUGUUUCAUCAGCAUGCUCACGCAAGUACGCGGUAGAAAUGAGUACGGAAUAAGGAGGGGUGAAUUGCUUCUGUCCGUGUGCAAGAACAAUGAAGCCGUGAGGUACCGAUGAGACACCUCCCUCCUACAAUCGAGGAACAAAUGGUUACAGUUGUGUGGUGGUUCCUGCAAAGUGGAGAAUGCUGCUACCUGGUGCUGUCCCUGCUCCCUCCGCAUUUCAGGUUGAAUGCUGGGUGUAAUUUCCCCCUUCGCUCUGUGAAUAACAAGUUAAAACCCCUUCCUUCUACCCAGUGAAAGUUACAGUUUGUGAAACGUUUCCAGAUCGAAAACGCUGAAAACCCUCCAAUUAGGCUUUCCCGCCAGAAGGAGAGGAUAACAUAACGAGGGCGAGAAACGCUUUCUGAAAACACUUCAGCUUGGAAGCUGCUCUGAAGUGUUAAGAGAGUCACAAAUGAUGGAGUCCACCUGGUUUCCUUGUGAUUCACACAGACUGAAGAAACACUGAAGGCUGUGUCUCCUCAAAAAAGCAGGUGAGGCAACGUGCAACUUUUACACCAAAACUGAAGUUUUGAACCCAUCCAGAAACCAGUGGAAAGAAGCCUCAUUUCCUACAGGAAGGACAGAGCAGAGAAAGAGGUUUGUGGUUGAUUGUCCUGCCCUGGGGAACCCGAGGGAUGUAGGAUUUGGCACAGUCAUGGCCUGAGGGGCACUAACAGCAGAUGGAUCACCUUGGCUGUGUGGCAGUUGCCCUGUCCUUGCUUGCAGUGAGAGCCUUGCGGUGCAAGGAUGGAAUGUUCCAGCAGAUGUUCUGGCGUGUCCUCCAUUUGAUUUGGCCUAGCAAUGCUACUUCCCCCCACAUCCAUAAAUCACUUACUCCCAUGAAGUGUGACUUCUGUUUUCAAUCACUUACGUGAACUGCAGUAGAUACAGCCAUGCUAAAUAUAUUUUAAUAAAUAAGCAUUGAAUCAA
Molecule: long non-coding RNA, 1335 nt
Organism: Hirundo rustica (Barn swallow)
Lineage: Eukaryota; Metazoa; Chordata; Aves; Passeriformes; Hirundinidae
Exons: 3
Source: RefSeq, a predicted model, not a curated record